AUCCAGCCGACGAGUACCCAAAUGGGACGAAAUGCGCAUCCUGGAU
Molecule: non-coding RNA, 46 nt
Filed under: Trichobilharzia regenti
Lineage: Eukaryota; Metazoa; Platyhelminthes; Trematoda; Strigeidida; Schistosomatidae
Source: RNAcentral